This 253-nucleotide ribosomal RNA is filed under the name uncultured bacterium. RNAcentral's name for it is "partial 16S ribosomal RNA". It matches the Rfam family "Bacterial small subunit ribosomal RNA", at positions 524 to 776 of the family's 1533-position model. The record is from RNAcentral.
UACGUAGGUGGCAAGCGUUGUCCGAAUUUACUGGGCGUAAAGAGCGCGCAGGCGGUCGAUCAAGUCGCGUGUGAAAGCCCCCGGCUCAACUGGGGAGGGUCACGCGAUACUGAUCGACUCGAAGGCAGGAGAGGGUAGUGGAAUUCCCGGUGUAGUGGUGAAAUGCGUAGAUAUCGGGAGGAACACCAGUGGCGAAGGCGACUACCUGGCCUGUUCUUGACGCUGAGGCGCGAAAGCUAGGGGAGCAAACGGG